Molecule: long non-coding RNA, 834 nt
Organism: Panthera uncia (snow leopard)
Lineage: Eukaryota; Metazoa; Chordata; Mammalia; Carnivora; Felidae
Exons: 3
Source: RefSeq, a predicted model, not a curated record
CUCUCUCCCCCUCCCUCCUGGCUCACCUCCCCUCGCAUCUCCCUCUAUCCCUCUCUCAUUUCCUCUUUCUCUUCUUCUCUCUCCUUCAGCCUUCCCCCUCUCCUUCUUUCUCUCCACCUCCCUCUCUUCUCUCCUUCUCUCCCCCUCCCUGUCUCCCCCUCCCUCUCUCUUCUCCCUCUCCCUCCAAGUCUGGCACUGAACGCGAACUGUUUUGCUUUGCUCCGGGAAGAGUGCAGACACAUAACGUGAAAUCCCGAGCUUUUUGCGUGGUGCAUUUAAAAUGCUUCCUUAUUUAUAUUACCCUCAUUCCCUCACCUCUCCCACCCCCUCACCAGUCCUUCCAAAUUUCCCUAGAAAUCUAUGUAAAGCGUGUGGAGGGGAAACAUUUGCACAAAAAGUGAAGGAGCUCGCCAAGGUAGUUGAACCUGUCUGGACUACUGGAGGUCUGCACAAGGGGUGGCCACUGAAGGAGGGUAUCUCAGAGGCCACGGGAACUGAAGAGUCUGAACCAAUGAGCUCUGGAGUCCCAGGAGUCUCCCGCUGAAGAAAGAAUCUAAAGAGAUGCCUAAGUUCCAGGGAAUUUUCCUCUAAGACAAAUAACGUCAAGAUAGCUUUUAUUUUAUUUAUGUUUAUUAUUUUUCCCCAUUAAAAUAUGUGUCAUCUUCAGAGAUCCUGGGCUAGAAUUUUUUUAUUUUCCUUUUGCUGGUUGAAGAAAAAUCUCAAACCCUGAUGCUGUUUUUGUUUAUUUCAUGAAGAAGUUAAGAUGGUGCUUGACAACUUAUGCCUCCUACAAAACCAAAAAAUAUUUUCUACACUGUGUUCAUUAAGAUCUCU